ACCAAGAUGUAAAGUAAAGAAGAACAAACAAUUACUAAAUCCAUGUGAAAAAAAGGAACAAACAUUAGGAAAAAAAAUAGUGACCUGUUUGGAUUGCCUUGAUUGAAUGGUAAUGCUCUUUGGUAAUCAAUCCAUCGCAUUAUUAUUUCUGUGUUCGUUUGUAUGUAAGAUUUUGUGACCGUUGGUAUGAGGUUUAGGCUGCUUGUAAUUCUUCUAAAAUGGAAUUUGUGCCACUGGGAGCUUUAAAAUAGUUAAUUUUUGCUGAUAAUAAUUGGUUGCAGCAUUUAUGGAGAGUUGGACUGUAUUUAUAGCUUGAUAUGUCUUUGGGUCUACAGAAUCGAGCCUAGACAAAAAAA
Molecule: unclassified non-coding RNA, 356 nt
Filed under: Hevea brasiliensis (rubber tree)
Lineage: Eukaryota; Viridiplantae; Streptophyta; Magnoliopsida; Malpighiales; Euphorbiaceae
Source: RNAcentral